UUCCAUAUUUCCCAUCGUAGUUU
RNAcentral lists this small nuclear RNA (23 nucleotides) under Arabidopsis thaliana (thale cress). RNAcentral's name for it is "snRNA_04676". The record is from RNAcentral. Lineage: Eukaryota; Viridiplantae; Streptophyta; Magnoliopsida; Brassicales; Brassicaceae.